This 1700-nucleotide ribosomal RNA is filed under the name Escherichia coli. RNAcentral's name for it is "partial 23S ribosomal RNA". It matches the Rfam family "Bacterial large subunit ribosomal RNA", at positions 1 to 1735 of the family's 2925-position model. Lineage: Bacteria; Pseudomonadati; Pseudomonadota; Gammaproteobacteria; Enterobacterales; Enterobacteriaceae. The record is from RNAcentral.
GGGUUGUGAGGUUAAGCGACUAAGCGUACACGGUGGAUGCCCUGGCAGUCAGAGGCGAUGAAGGACGUGCUAAUCUGCGAUAAGCGUCGGUAAGGUGAUAUGAACCGUUAUAACCGGCGAUUUCCGAAUGGGGAAACCCAGUGUGUUUCGACACACUAUCAUUAACUGAAUCCAUAGGUUAAUGAGGCGAACCGGGGGAACUGAAACAUCUAAGUACCCCGAGGAAAAGAAAUCAACCGAGAUUCCCCCAGUAGCGGCGAGCGAACGGGGAGCAGCCCAGAGCCUGAAUCAGUGUGUGUGUUAGUGGAAGCGUCUGGAAAGGCGUGCGAUACAGGGUGACAGCCCCGUACACAAAAAUGCACAUGCUGUGAGCUCGAUGAGUAGGGCGGGACACGUGGUAUCCUGUCUGAAUAUGGGGGGACCAUCCUCCAAGGCUAAAUACUCCUGACUGACCGAUAGUGAACCAGUACCGUGAGGGAAAGGCGAAAAGAACCCCGGCGAGGGGAGUGAAAAAGAACCUGAAACCGUGUACGUACAAGCAGUGGGAGCACGCUUAGGCGUGUGACUGCGUACCUUUUGUAUAAUGGGUCAGCGACUUAUAUUCUGUAGCAAGGUUAACCGAAUAGGGGAGCCGAAGGGAAACCGAGUCUUAACUGGGCGUUAAGUUGCAGGGUAUAGACCCGAAACCCGGUGAUCUAGCCAUGGGCAGGUUGAAGGUUGGGUAACACUAACUGGAGGACCGAACCGACUAAUGUUGAAAAAUUAGCGGAUGACUUGUGGCUGGGGGUGAAAGGCCAAUCAAACCGGGAGAUAGCUGGUUCUCCCCGAAAGCUAUUUAGGUAGCGCCUCGUGAAUUCAUCUCCGGGGGUAGAGCACUGUUUCGGCAAGGGGGUCAUCCCGACUUACCAACCCGAUGCAAACUGCGAAUACCGGAGAAUGUUAUCACGGGAGACACACGGCGGGUGCUAACGUCCGUCGUGAAGAGGGAAACAACCCAGACCGCCAGCUAAGGUCCCAAAGUCAUGGUUAAGUGGGAAACGAUGUGGGAAGGCCCAGACAGCCAGGAUGUUGGCUUAGAAGCAGCCAUCAUUUAAAGAAAGCGUAAUAGCUCACUGGUCGAGUCGGCCUGCGCGGAAGAUGUAACGGGGCUAAACCAUGCACCGAAGCUGCGGCAGCGACACUAUGUGUUGUUGGGUAGGGGAGCGUUCUGUAAGCCUGUGAAGGUGUACUGUGAGGUAUGCUGGAGGUAUCAGAAGUGCGAAUGCUGACAUAAGUAACGAUAAAGCGGGUGAAAAGCCCGCUCGCCGGAAGACCAAGGGUUCCUGUCCAACGUUAAUCGGGGCAGGGUGAGUCGACCCCUAAGGCGAGGCCGAAAGGCGUAGUCGAUGGGAAACAGGUUAAUAUUCCUGUACUUGGUGUUACUGCGAAGGGGGGACGGAGAAGGCUAUGUUGGCCGGGCGACGGUUGUCCCGGUUUAAGCGUGUAGGCUGGUUUUCCAGGCAAAUCCGGAAAAUCAAGGCUGAGGCGUGAUGACGAGGCACUACGGUGCUGAAGCAACAAAUGCCCUGCUUCCAGGAAAAGCCUCUAAGCAUCAGGUAACAUCAAAUCGUACCCCAAACCGACACAGGUGGUCAGGUAGAGAAUACCAAGGCGCUUGAGAGAACUCGGGUGAAGGAACUAGGCAAAAUGGUGCCGUAACU